This 252-nucleotide ribosomal RNA is filed under the name uncultured bacterium. Its description in RNAcentral is "partial 16S ribosomal RNA". It matches the Rfam family "Bacterial small subunit ribosomal RNA", at positions 524 to 775 of the family's 1533-position model. The record is from RNAcentral.
GACAGAGGUGCCAAGCGUUAGGCGGAAUCACUGGGCUUAAAGCGUGUGUAGGUGGACUGGUAAGUACCUUGUGAAAUCCCACGGCUUAACCGUGGAACUGCUUGGUAUACUGCUGGUCUUGAGCAACCUAGGGGCGAGUGGAACAAAUGGUGGAGCGGUGAAAUGCGUAGAUAUCAUUUGGAACGCCAAUGGUGAAAACAACUCGCUGGGGGUUUGCUGACACUGAGACACGAAAGCCAGGGGAGCAAACGG